UUUAGGUUAGCAAAACUAGUGCAAAUAAUUUAGAAUUAUUAAAUAAGGAUUUAAAUUUCUUACCUAA
This 67-nucleotide transfer RNA is filed under the name Nuttallochiton mirandus. Its description in RNAcentral is "tRNA-Leu". It matches the Rfam family "tRNA". From Rfam's summary of the family: Transfer RNA (tRNA) molecules are approximately 80 nucleotides in length. Their secondary structure includes four short double-helical elements and three loops (D, anti-codon, and T loops). The record is from RNAcentral. Lineage: Eukaryota; Metazoa; Mollusca; Polyplacophora; Chitonida; Mopaliidae.